Molecule: ribosomal RNA, 1502 nt
Filed under: Serratia marcescens
Lineage: Bacteria; Pseudomonadati; Pseudomonadota; Gammaproteobacteria; Enterobacterales; Yersiniaceae
Description: partial 23S ribosomal RNA
Rfam family: Bacterial large subunit ribosomal RNA
Source: RNAcentral
GGUUAAGUGACUAAGCGUACACGGUGGAUGCCUAGGCAGUCAGAGGCGAUGAAGGGCGUGCUAAUCUGCGAAAAGCGUCGGUAAGGUGAUAUGAACCGUUACAACCGGCGAUACCCGAAUGGGGAAACCCAGUGUGUUUCGACACACUAUCAUGUCAUGAAUACAUAGUGGCAUGAGGCGAACCGGGGGAACUGAAACAUCUAAGUACCCCGAGGAAAAGAAAUCAACCGAGAUUCCCCCAGUAGCGGCGAGCGAACGGGGAGGAGCCCAGAACCUGAAUCGGCUUGUGUGUUAGUGGAAGCGUCUGGAAAGUCGCGCAGCAAAGGGUGAUAGCCCCGUACACUAAAAUACACAGGUCGUGAGUUCGAUGAGUAGGGCGGGACACGUGACAUCCUGUCUGAAUAUGGGGGGACCAUCCUCCAAGGCUAAAUACUCCUGACUGACCGAUAGUGAACCAGUACCGUGAGGGAAAGGCGAAAAGAACCCCGGCGAGGGGAGUGAAAUAGAACCUGAAACCGUGUACGUACAAGCAGUGGGAGCACCUUCGUGGUGUGACUGCGUACCUUUUGUAUAAUGGGUCAGCGACUUAUAUUUUGUAGCAAGGUUAACCGUAUAGGGGAGCCGUAGGGAAACCGAGUCUUAACUGGGCGAAUAGUUGCAAGGUAUAGACCCGAAACCCGGUGAUCUAGCCAUGGGCAGGUUGAAGGUUGGGUAACACUAACUGGAGGACCGAACCGACUAAUGUUGAAAAAUUAGCGGAUGACUUGUGGCUGGGGGUGAAAGGCCAAUCAAACCGGGAGAUAGCUGGUUCUCCCCGAAAGCUAUUUAGGUAGCGCCUCGUGAACUCAUCUUCGGGGGUAGAGCACUGUUUCGGCUAGGGGGCCAUCCCGGCUUACCAAACCGAUGCAAACUCCGAAUACCGAAGAAUGUUAUCACGGGAGACACACGGCGGGUGCUAACGUCCGUCGUGAAGAGGGAAACAACCCAGACCGCCAGCUAAGGUCCCAAAGUCAUGGUUAAGUGGGAAACGAUGUGGGAAGGCAUAGACAGCCAGGAUGUUGGCUUAGAAGCAGCCAUCAUUUAAAGAAAGCGUAAUAGCUCACUGGUCGAGUCGGCCUGCGCGGAAGAUGUAACGGGGCUAAACCAUGCACCGAAGCUGCGGCAGCGACGCUUAGGCGUUGUUGGGUAGGGGAGCGUUCUGUAAGCCGUUGAAGGUGGCCUGUGAGGGUUGCUGGAGGUAUCAGAAGUGCGAAUGCUGACAUAAGUAACGAUAAAGCGGGUGAAAAGCCCGCUCGCCGGAAGACCAAGGGUUCCUGUCCAACGUUAAUCGGGGCAGGGUGAGUCGACCCCUAAGGCGAGGCUGAAAAGCGUAGUCGAUGGGAAACAGGUUAAUAUUCCUGUACUUGGUGUUACUGCGAAGGGGGGACGGAGAAGGCUAGGCUAGCCGGGCGACGGUUGUCCCGGUUUAAGCGUGUAGGGGGUGUGACCUGGUAAAUCCGGUU